This 500-nucleotide ribosomal RNA is filed under the name uncultured Bacillota bacterium. Its description in RNAcentral is "bacterial SSU rRNA". It matches the Rfam family "Bacterial small subunit ribosomal RNA", at positions 355 to 845 of the family's 1533-position model. Lineage: Bacteria; Bacillati; Bacillota. The record is from RNAcentral.
UAGGGAAUCUUCCGCAAUGGACGAAAGUCUGACGGAGCAACGCCGCGUGAGCGAAGAAGGCCUUCGGGUCGUAAAGCUCUGUUGUUAGGGAAGAACAAGUACGAGAGUAACUGCUCGUACCUUGACGGUACCUAACCAGAAAGCCACGGCUAACUACGUGCCAGCAGCCGCGGUAAUACGUAGGUGGCAAGCGUUGUCCGGAAUUAUUGGGCGUAAAGCGCGCGCAGGCGGUCCUUUAAGUCUGAUGUGAAAGCCCACGGCUCAACCGUGGAGGGUCAUUGGAAACUGGGGGACUUGAGUGCAGAAGAGGAGAGUGGAAUUCCACGUGUAGCGGUGAAAUGCGUAGAGAUGUGGAGGAACACCAGUGGCGAAGGCGACUCUCUGGUCUGUAACUGACGCUGAGGCGCGAAAGCGUGGGGGAGCAAACAGGAUUAGAUACCCUGGUAGUCCACGCCGUAAACGAUGAGUGCUAAGUGUUAGAGGGUUUCCGCCCUUUAGUG